This 69-nucleotide transfer RNA is filed under the name Ilyophis brunneus (muddy arrowtooth eel). RNAcentral describes it as "tRNA-His". It matches the Rfam family "tRNA". From Rfam's summary of the family: Transfer RNA (tRNA) molecules are approximately 80 nucleotides in length. Their secondary structure includes four short double-helical elements and three loops (D, anti-codon, and T loops). Further hydrogen bonds mediate the characteristic L-shaped molecular structure. tRNAs have two regions of fundamental functional importance: the anti-codon, which is responsible for specific mRNA codon recognition, and the 3' end, to which the tRNAs corresponding amino acid is attached (by aminoacyl-tRNA synthetases). tRNAs cope with the degeneracy of the genetic code in two manners: having more than one tRNA (with a specific anti-codon) for a particular amino acid; and 'wobble' base-pairing, i.e. permitting non-standard base-pairing at the 3rd anti-codon position. The record is from RNAcentral. Lineage: Eukaryota; Metazoa; Chordata; Actinopteri; Anguilliformes; Synaphobranchidae.
GUAGAUAUAGUUUAACAAAAACAUUAGAUUGUGAUUCUAAAAAUAGGGAAUAAAACACCCUUAUCUACA